GCCUGGCUAGCUCAGUCGGUAGAGCAUGAGACUCUUGAUCUCAGGGUCGUGGGUUUGAGCACCACGUCGGGCA
RNAcentral lists this transfer RNA (73 nucleotides) under Danionella translucida. It matches the Rfam family "tRNA". From Rfam's summary of the family: Transfer RNA (tRNA) molecules are approximately 80 nucleotides in length. Lineage: Eukaryota; Metazoa; Chordata; Actinopteri; Cypriniformes; Danionidae. RNAcentral also lists the same sequence under 1 other name. The record is from Rfam by way of RNAcentral.